UACGAAGGGGGCUAGCGUUGUUCGGAUUUACUGGGCGUAAAGCGCGCGUAGGCGGCUACUUAUGUCGGAUGUGAAAGCCCUUGGCUCAACUGAGGAAGUGCACCCGAAACUGAGUAGCUGGAGUACGAAAGAGGGUCGCGGAAUUCCCGGUGUAGAGGUGAAAUUCGUAGAUAUCGGGAGGAACACCGGUGGCGAAGGCGGCGACCUGGGUCGAUACUGACGCUGAGGCGCGAAAGCGUGGGGAGCAAACAGG
This 253-nucleotide ribosomal RNA is filed under the name uncultured bacterium. Its description in RNAcentral is "partial 16S ribosomal RNA". It matches the Rfam family "Bacterial small subunit ribosomal RNA", at positions 524 to 776 of the family's 1533-position model. The record is from RNAcentral.